UACGUAGGGGGCAAGCGUUGUCCGGAAUUAUUGGGCGUAAAGGGCACGCAGGCGGUUUUUUUAAGUCUGAUGUGAAAUCUUGCGGCUUAACCGUAAGCUGUCAUUGGAAACUGGAGAACUUGAAUAUAGAAGAGGAAAGUGGAAUUCCAUGUGUAGCGGUGAAAUGCGUAGAUAUAUGGAGGAACACCAGUGGCGAAGGCGACUUUCUGGUCUAUUAUUGUACGCUGAGGCUCGAAAGCAUGGGUAGCAAACAGGAUUAGAUACCCCGGUAGUCCCU
This 277-nucleotide ribosomal RNA is filed under the name uncultured prokaryote. RNAcentral describes it as "partial 16S ribosomal RNA". It matches the Rfam family "Bacterial small subunit ribosomal RNA", at positions 524 to 798 of the family's 1533-position model. The record is from RNAcentral.